Molecule: ribosomal RNA, 698 nt
Filed under: uncultured bacterium
Lineage: Bacteria
Description: bacterial SSU rRNA
Rfam family: Bacterial small subunit ribosomal RNA
Source: RNAcentral
GUAGUCCAUGCCAUAAACGAUGCAUACUAGGUGUAGGAGGGCUCAACCCCCUCUGUACCGGAGCUAACGCAUUAAGUAUGCCGCCUGGGGAGUACGCUCGCAAGGGUGAAACUCAAAAGAAUUGACGGGGGCCCGCACAAGCAGUGGAGCAUGUGGUUUAAUUCGAUGCAACGCGAAGAACCUUACCUGGGCUCGAAAUGUAGAGGACGACAACAGAGAUGUUGUUUCCCGAAAGGGUCUCUAUAUAGGUGCUGCAUGGCUGUCGUCAGCUCGUGCCGUGAGGUGUUUGGUUAAGUCCAGCAACGAGCGCAACCCUUAUCGUUAGUUGCCAGCGCGUAAUGGCGGGAACUCUAACGAGACUGCCUGGGUUAACCAGGAGGAAGGUGAGGAUGAUGUCAAGUCCGCAUGGCCUUUAUGUCCAGGGCAACACACGUGCUACAAUGGUCGGUACAGAAGGCAGCAAAACCGCAAGGUGAAGCAAAUCCCGAAAAGCCGAUCUCAGUUCAGAUUGUAGUCUGCAACUCGACUACAUGAAGUUGGAAUUGCUAGUAAUGGCGUGUCAGCUACAACGCCGUGAAUACGUUCCCGGGCCUUGUACACACCGCCCGUCACAUCAUGGGAGUUGGUUUUACCCGAAGUUGCUGACCUGACCUCGCAAGAGGGAGGAGGCACCUAAGGUAAGGCCGAUGACUGGGAUG